Long non-coding RNA from Balaenoptera musculus (blue whale), 329 nucleotides. RefSeq lists it as uncharacterized. The transcript has 3 exons. The record is from RefSeq and is a predicted model, not a curated record. Lineage: Eukaryota; Metazoa; Chordata; Mammalia; Artiodactyla; Balaenopteridae.
CUUAAAGAUAGAUUUUUUUUCCCUCUCCAAAUUCUCUGAAGACUGAAGUUCCUUAAGGACUAAGAAAACACUUGUUUCCCUUCCAGCUCCUUUUCCUGAUGCUCCAAGCAACGUUUCUGGAGCCUCCAGAACUGAAGGGCGGACCAAUUCCCUGGAGGAAAGGAAUGGAUUUGGGCCCAGGGGAGCCACAUUUUUUCUCAGCUCUAUGGCAAGCAAGCACCAAGGGUCCAAGGAUCAGGGAGCAUAUUAAAUACACUGUUCUAGGGAUUUCCCUGAUGGUGCAGUGGUUAAGAAUCCACCUGCCAGUGCAGGAGACAUGGGUUCGAGCC